UACGUAGGUGGCAAGCGUUGACCGGAUUUAUUGGGCGUAAAGAGCUCGUAGGCGGAUCGUUAAGUGUAGAGUGAAAUCUCCAGGGCUCAACCCGGAAACUGCUCUGCAUACUGGCGAGCUUGAGGGGCACAGAGGCAACUGGAAUUCCUGGUGAAGCGGUGAAAUGCGUAGAUAUCAGGAGGAACUCCCAUGGCGAAGGCAGGUUGCUGGGUGCCAUCUGACGCUGAGGCGCGAAAGCGUGGGUAGCAAACAGG
Molecule: ribosomal RNA, 254 nt
Filed under: uncultured bacterium
Lineage: Bacteria
Description: partial 16S ribosomal RNA
Rfam family: Bacterial small subunit ribosomal RNA
Source: RNAcentral